AUCCCUGUAGCGCAAUGGAUAGCGCGCGCGCGUUGGACUUCUAAUCCAAAGGUUGUGGGUUCGAAAGCCCCCUGGGAUG
Trichonephila clavipes is the source of this 79-nucleotide non-coding RNA. The record is from the annotation of a GenBank genome assembly. NCBI's taxonomy places the organism in Eukaryota, Metazoa, Arthropoda, Arachnida, Araneae, Nephilidae.